RNAcentral lists this ribosomal RNA (490 nucleotides) under uncultured bacterium. Its description in RNAcentral is "partial 16S ribosomal RNA". It matches the Rfam family "Bacterial small subunit ribosomal RNA", at positions 28 to 507 of the family's 1533-position model. The record is from RNAcentral.
GAUGAACGCUAGCGGCAGGCCUAAUACAUGCCAGUCGAACGGGAUCCAGAUCAACGCUUGCUUUGGUUUGGUGCGAGUGGCGUACGGGUGCGUAACGCGUGAGCAACCUACCCUUGUCAGGGGGCUAGCCCGGCGAAAGUCGGAUUAAUACCGCAUGACAUCAUUGCGAGGCAUCUUUGGAUGAUCAAAGAUUUAUCGGACAAGGAUGGGCUCGCGUGACAUUAGCUCGUUGGUAAGGUAACGGCUUACCAAGGCUACGAUGUCUAGGGGCUAUGUGAGGAGAAUCCCCCAGACUGGAGCCGAGACACAGACCAGACUCCUACGGGAGGGAGCAGUAAGGAAUGUUGGGCGAUGGAGGGAGGUCUGAAACAGCCAUGCCGGGUGCAGAAAGACGGCGCUAGGGGUUGUAAGCUGCUUGUAAACGAGAACAAACGUCGGUACGUGGACCGGUCUGAGUGUACCGAAAGAAUAAGGAACGGCUAACUCCGUG